This 5548-nucleotide long non-coding RNA is filed under the name Gallus gallus (chicken). RNAcentral's name for it is "lncRNA (ENSGALG00010010643.1)". Lineage: Eukaryota; Metazoa; Chordata; Aves; Galliformes; Phasianidae. The record is from RNAcentral.
UGAACAGUGAGGGUGAGAGGCCCAUAGUCCCCUCUCUGUGCUGUAAGUGUAAGCAGGAUCUUGCAGUGUGGUGCUGAGAGCUGAAGGAGGUGCCUGAGGAAGAGAGAAAAACCGCAGGGAAAUGACAGCAAAGCCUUCUUUUAUAGAACAGAGAAUUACAGGCCAGCUGCAAGAGAGAGUGUAGCACUGAUACUGUUGGGCAGUAGAAGUGUUUGUGAAGACAGGACAUGAUACUAACAAGAGAGUGAUGUGUCCAUGUUUGUGUCCUUUUGAAGAUAAGUAGGAAGAAGAAAAGUGAGAAAAGAGAGAAGACAGGAAGAAAGGAAAAGGAAGAGGAAGAGGAAAAGGAAAAGGAAGAAAGAGGAAGAAAUCAAGGCAACAGAGAAGGAGUAUCCUGCUAUUGCACUGUGAUCACAUAUGAAAGCUAUCAUGUUAAUAAAUCAAAAAUUCCCACUGUAGACCAUGGUAAAUGACUACUAUAUGAUUCAAUUUUAGUAGGAGAGAUAAAUAAUAGUGUAGACAGAUGCAAUAGUAUUGCAACUAAAUAAUGGGUUGAAAUCAACUCUACAGCAAAUAUAUCUUACAAGCUGAAACAUUUGGGGAAACAUAAUCUGAAACACUGGAUUCACAGGAGUGAAUCACACAGAAAAUGGAAAAGAACUAUCUGCAAGGAAGCAGUAAUGCUAAAAGGACUUCUCUAACGAAAAGAUACAUUCUUGGUGUCUCCAGAGACUUGUGUUUCCAGAGACCGGUGUCUUAUGCAAAAGUGUAAAGGGAGAACUCAGCAAGACCAAAGUGGGGAGAAUCUCAUGAAGACUGACUACCUUAAUGACGUGCCUUUAUGGGCCACAUCUUCUCAUCUGUCUACCAAAUAAAGAAAGUACAGCAGUAGCCUAUGUUAUUGAAAGACUAGAAAACUCUAAGACUAAGGUAUCAUCUUAUUCAAAGUCUUAUGAAAUCGACAAGACCAGUAUCAUGAGCAAGCCAGGCACGAUUAGAUUUUAAGGAGUAUUUCUAAGUGAAACUUAGAUUUCUCCAGGCAAUGUGCUUCACUGAAUCACUGAACUUGGACUAAGAAAUAAUACUGAUCAUAUUUCCAACUUCCUACCCCCAAAAUCUUGAUUGUGCUCCUGCCUCUGUAUACUUUCAUUCCUUUUCUUUCUUAUUUAUUUAAUUUGGAAAUCCUUCAAUAUAGAAAAUUAGCCAAGGACAAGGAGACAUGGUUUUGGAUGGAAUUUCUAGGUGCACUUAGCACACAGCAAUAAAUCUUGAACAUAAAAUUUAUUCACAGUGUAGGCUACUUAUUAUCAGUCAAGUCUAAACUCCAUUCUUAUCACUUUGGCUCUUUUGGUUUUAGUCAUAUAAAUACAGUUUGAGUAACGUUAUGUUCAUGAGGGAUAUUAUUAUUAUUUUUUUAGCUGGAUUUGAACAAAACAUUGUAACUGCUCUACUUUGCCACAGAUGCAAUUUUCCACUGUAAUUGUGCCCAAUAUUCUAUUAUAAGUUCUCUUAUAUAAACUAAUUAGUAUUCUAGAUGUAGUGCAACACUGAUACUUAUGCAGGAAGCAAACUCACCCAGGAAGUUUAUAGAGUACAAGAUUCUAUUAGGAACGUCCCUAAAAUAUUCUGUUAAUGCAAUUCAAUUAAACAAUUUUAAACAGAAUUAUCAUGUGGCCUUGGACAUCUGUGGUUAGCACAACACAACACAUAAAAUACUGAAUUCUAAGGAAAAUAUUGUUUUGUCAGUUAGAAGCACAAAGCAUGAAUUUCCACAGAGGCGAGAUUAUGGGAGAUUAAUCUUUCAGAGCUACAAGAUGACAUAUGCAGUCAGCAUGCAGACUAGCAUGUGUACUAUAAGCACUGAAAAAGAAAAGAAUUUCUUCAGAAGUCUGUGCUUUGUUCCUUAAAAGCCAUUCCUUUUAUAAUAUCUUUUUGCACCUUUUCUAUCAAACAAAUUCAAGAAACCUAGUGCAACUGGCAUUUACAAUACAAUUCACCAUCGACAGUCACCUAAUCAAAUGGUAGAUACUUGAAGAUGUUUUUAUUAAAUAUCUUAUGUCAUAUUGAAAUUGUAUCAUUUGGAUGAUGAUGCAAAAUUAAAAAGUUAAACAAUAUUCUUAGUUAUAUUUGCAGUUUCAAUGAGUUUUUCUCAUAGUUGCUUAAGUGUAAAGAAUGCCAGGCCACCUACUCUCCUUGCUUGGAGUCACGUUGGGGCUCACGCUCCACCAAAACCUCAUAUGGUUUUAGGUCUAUUUUCUCUACCUCUGAAUGACACCCACUUUCUCAUACAGCCUUAUCCCUUCUGCACUAACUUUUCCUCUGACCCAACUCUCUCCAUCUAAUCCAAAUUAUGAGCUAGUCUCCACCUUAUCUUCUAGCAUUUCUGAUUUCCACUUAAAUAAAACAUUUCCUAAACUGAACUGCUGGGGAGGCAUCCUUCAUGCCAUGGAAAAAGGCUGGCAGAGCAUCAAAAGGCCCCAAACUAUUGUAUCUGAUGGUGCUGCAGUAGAGGGAGCAACGCUGGUCUGAAGACAGGAAGAAUGGCUCCUCAGCCUUGCAUUCCUUCUCAGGCUUCUCAGAAGAUCUCUCCGUAACUGUGUCUAUCAAAUUCUGGAAGGGGAGGUAAUAUAUAUUGUGAAGGAGACAAAGAAGAAGCCCUGACAACCAGGCAUGAUAUACAGCAGAUGACUUAAUCACUUGACCACAUCUCAUACUCCAGAUGUUGCCUGAGGUUCUCAUGGACUUGCUACAAGCUGUUGCAGUCUCUCUGCUACUCUGUGACCUCACGUGCUUAGCCCUUCAUCUCUGGGAGGUCUUUCUGGAAAAUAAGCCCACCAAAAGGUACAUUCUUCAACUGCAAACACAGCUGCAUGAGAUCCCUCGUGUGUCUGAACUGCUUCCAGCACAGAAAACACUUUGCAAAUUCUCUGCAAAGAGAUUUACCACAGGAUACAAGGGUUUGAAUGCAACUCUUGAGCAUGUGUGUUUGGAAUAGGAUGGGUUUAUCCUUUGACAGGUCAGAAGAAGAACAAUAAACUUUAAAGACAGGCAUAUAAUUUAUGUUUGGACAUCUGGCUCUGUCAUGUGCUGUGAAGCUGAUUCUCAAUUGGGAAGCAAAGAGGCAAAAUUCACCCGAACCAGAAGGGUAACAAAGAAUAUGACUCAGAAAAGAACUUGUGUCUGUGUUUGCAUACUGCUUUUACUGGAACUUGCUUAAACACUGCCAAAUCAGGACUAAAAGCCACUGAAACUGACAGGCACUUCACCUCUACAGGGCUACCUACAUAAUUACACUAAUACCUUAUAAGAGAUUUAUUCCCCUCCUGAGGUAUGCAUUUUUCCCUGGUGUUUUAGCAAAGCCUAUGACAGACAUUAUGAUGUGUUAAGUGAACUGCCAAAGAUCCAAAAUAGUUCCAGAUAACAAAGAACACUUUUUCUUUAACGUGCUUUAGAGGAGUAAAAUAAAUAUAUCUGGCAAUUUAAGAGCACCAGCUGAAGUGUUUAUGAAGUUGUACAUGAGCUAUUUGAUUGUAACAGUGUUUAAUUGUAAUUUAGUGGUCUUAUUCACAACCUUCUUGUAUUUUUUUAUGACUUGUUUCUUAUGAGACUGAGCAGUUCACAGUGCUGUGACACUGGGUUACAACAUCACGCAACAAACUGAGAUCUACCUUUUGUUGCUUUAUUUGAUGGGCCAUUUUCUUACGGAGUUCUAGGAAUCAUUUUUCACAAGUACAGACAAGUAUCGGCCUUAUUCAGCCGCCUUAGAGAAACACAGAAGCUGGCUGAGGAAAGUUCCAUUGAGGGUACUGCAGUUGCAAACUGUAGCCAUUAGCUAUUCACUUCCAGAAGAACGCGGAGAUGUAACUAUGGCACAGAUACUGCUAAUAAACAUACCAGAACUUACUCCUCCCAUCAAAUAGCAUUGAAAACAGUUGUCCGUCUUGCAUGACCAAGGUUAGAUAAGUUCAGCACCUGUUGCAGCAAAAUGUGGUAAGUGUUGAGCAUGUUUUCCUAAAGCAGGUGUUGAACUCCCUUGACCCUAUUCACAACAGCUGGACAAAUGGACCGCUGUUCUUCUUCAACAAAGGGUGCAUGUGUGAUCUUGACAUACAGUUGUUUCCAUGAUUUUAAGGAAGCUGAAGAGUAAUGUCUGCUGUUUGCAGCUUAAAAAUUGAGAACUCGUUUGAUAAAGUGGGAAUCAGCCCUGAACACUUUCUCUAAGUUAAACUUGAACUUUAAAAGGAUUGUGAUUGAUUAAUUUAGAUUAUUAAUUUAGAUGAUGCCUUUUACAAGGAAACCAGCUCCUAUUCUCUCUGCUGAAGCUCUUUUUUUCAGCCAUCUGGAAACCCAUAGCUGACCUCUUCCUUAAACAUCUCCAGAUGCACUUGUUUUUCAACCUCAACUACUUUUGAAAUCUUUGGCACCCUAACCUCUGUAAUACCAUUCAGCACAAAAAUACUGCUUUCUAUAAGAGUUGUUUCUUGGACAUUUAUAUUGGACAGGCUUCCUUUAUUUCAUACCAGUUCCUUCAGGAAGUGUAAGAGAAUUUUUCCCACUUUAUAAUGUGUUGGCAGUGCAAUGAUAGCGUACUGAGUAAGAAGGUGUAUCAGGGUAGAUGUUUUGCUUUUGAUUUAGGCCUUAAUUCCUCCCAAGCUAAUCGUGUCACCCUUUCCACAGAGAGACAAUACCAUUUUUUGUAAUGUCUUUCAAUGGAAGUUAGUAACUGUGUUGUUCACAAAGUAGAUGCUUGGCUCAAUAGACAAGUUACCCCACCCAUUUAAAGAGUUAAAGUAUAUUAUUAUAUUAAAGUAUAUUAUAAAUACAAAAUUAUACUGGAGAAAAGAAAACAAACAAACAAAAAUGUCAAAAGCCCACAGCUGUAUAUAAACAUAAAACAGUAGUUCUUUAACCUGUUUUCAAAUCAUUAAUACGUUAGCAUUUAUUUGCAAGCAUGAAGUUAGAAGAGCUGCAAAGUGCACAGCAGUGUGUAAUAAUGUUCACAUACAGACAUAUAAAAAUACAGCUAAAGACAAAUGCUCCUAAGAUAUUAAAAGAACAGAAAUACAGUUCCCAAAGCAAACAAUAUUUUAUGGAGUGAAGCUAAUUAAUGCUCUCUUAUUCUAUUUCUUGUGUUCUCCUUGCCCCUAACUACUCACUUGAGAUACAUGGGAAAGUAAUUUUAAUUUCAUUGAUUAAUUUCAUGAAUACCCACUGUGAGCCAUAUCUAAAAAUGAGUUCCUUCAGAAAAUAGAUUAUCAUGAGCAGAGAAUUGCUACUGUAUUUUUCAGCAAGAUGGGGGUUUGAAGUCAGCGCAAUGUGUGGUCUCUCUCUCUCUUCAUACAACUUACCAAGACUGAAAGACCCUUUUUCUGACACUGGCUGUGUGAUUUCAAUCAUGUACCUAAGUUCUGUGUCUGUAAAUGGUGUAUAUAUGUAGAGCAGAAAAAAAUAAUAAAACCCUGCAUAGACUGUAAUGCACUGACUGCAGUCUUUGCAAGCAGGCUCAUAAGUGCUCACCAACGACUGUACACCCAAAGUUAAAUGUGUG